Molecule: long non-coding RNA, 305 nt
Organism: Micropterus salmoides (largemouth bass)
Lineage: Eukaryota; Metazoa; Chordata; Actinopteri; Centrarchiformes; Centrarchidae
Exons: 3
Source: RefSeq, a predicted model, not a curated record
GUUUAGUGCCUUUUUUCAGGUCAGAGCAACUGCCCUUCAAAAUUCCUGUGCACGUCCCUGUCAUUCAAGGUGACAUGAUGAAGCCCUCUGGAUGGCUUAUAUCCAUCGAGGGACAUGUCGUGAUGGGCCCACACCCUUUCUUUUUACACGGAGUAGCUGCUUUCUUCAGCACGUCUUACGUCUUCAACCUUGAGUAUCCUGCCGCUGGAUCGUCGACGCUGGAGUUCAUUCAAAGGUGCUUCCUGGGCAUCACUCCUGAAAGAGGCUCAAAGACCAAGAAGCGGACAACAAUGAACACCUCAUGU